RNAcentral lists this ribosomal RNA (259 nucleotides) under uncultured Oscillibacter sp. RNAcentral describes it as "partial 16S ribosomal RNA". It matches the Rfam family "Bacterial small subunit ribosomal RNA", at positions 80 to 339 of the family's 1533-position model. Lineage: Bacteria; Bacillati; Bacillota; Clostridia; Eubacteriales; Oscillospiraceae. The record is from RNAcentral.
UGAUAGGAAUGCUUAGUGGCGGACUGGUGAGUAACGCGUGAGGAACCUACCUUCCAGAGGGGGACAACAGUUGGAAACGACUGCUAAUACCGCAUGACAUAUAGAUGUCGCAUGGCAUUUAUAUCAAAGAUUUAUCGCUGAAAGAUGGCCUCGCGUCUGAUUAGCUAGUUGGUGAGGUAACGGCCCACCAAGGCGACGAUCAGUAGCCGGACUGAGAGGUUGACCGGCCACAUUGGGACUGAGAUACGGCCCAGACUCC